Dreissena polymorpha is the source of this 1132-nucleotide long non-coding RNA. RefSeq lists it as uncharacterized. The transcript has 2 exons. The record is from RefSeq and is a predicted model, not a curated record. Lineage: Eukaryota; Metazoa; Mollusca; Bivalvia; Myida; Dreissenidae.
AGGACAUUAACCAUUAACAUGAUCGUAUAUUUUAUUGCAUGUUUAGGAGAGACAAAAGCGAAUACAGAAAUGCGCAUCAGGGAAUCGACGCCGCAUGCAAUGUAUGAAUCUAUUGCGGCCGGCAAUCGAGGAAAUCAAGAAUACGAAAUUAUUAAGACGUCAGGAAUAUAACUCAUAAUUAGACGGUAAAAUCUAAUUUUCGUGAAUACACAGUAACGUUUACUCUACAUAAUUUGUGUAAUCAAUGCUAAACCUAAGUAACAUAUGUCUCAAACACUUGUACACCAACUUUCUGAUGUUUUAACGAGUGCGGACACAUUGAUAAAAUAGUUCAAGAACCAACACCUUCCACGCCAAGAAUGCUGAUGGAAUGUUGCAAUUUGGGUAAUUUUUUAUCAUUUUGUUGUACAUGUAUUAUGCCGUUUGAAAGUCAUGUAAAUAUGUCGAUGACGAUGUUCGAAUGAUGAAUGUUGCACAUAAUUAUGACCAUUGCAACCAUAAAAGAUGCGCACUGCUAUUAUUCUAUGGAUUGUUGCUUUUCUUGCUUAAAAUGAAAUAGAUUAAAAUAAUUAAAUAAAGGUUUUUAAAUGAUAUAUUCUAGUUAUCUUUAAAACUUGUUUUAAAACAUCAAUUAAAUAUCGUUAUAUUUUAAUCAUGCAUACUUUAUACUCAUAUUGCAUGCACAUUUACUAACGAAAACAUGUGUUUGUGUCUAUUUAAAGGUAGUUAUGUUCGAAAUCAUAUGCUAUCAUAUUUUAUGCUAUAGAUAAUCUUUUAAGGCAUAUUGUUGUUGUAUAUGUUUGUUUAGAACGACGAGCUAAUUAUUCUGAAGUCAACAUAGACAAUUGAAUUCUAAAAAUACAUACACAUAAUGAUAAACAUGUACUGGAACAUAACAAUUUUGGCUUGCAAAAGGUUCUCAGCGUCAUGUUUACAUUUUUAUUUUACAUGUGUAGCAUAAAUAAUUUCCUAACACCAUUAAGAUUAUUGUAAACGAUUCUAACGGUUGAUUUGAUUGCAAUAUGAAAUAUUCGUAUUGUCUAAAAUGUUAUGUCGAAGGUAUAAUCCAUUUGUACAUAGCACCAUCUCAGUUAAGAUAUCUUGACAACGUGAUAAACAUCUUCAGAAGCUA